This 254-nucleotide ribosomal RNA is filed under the name uncultured bacterium. RNAcentral's name for it is "partial 16S ribosomal RNA". It matches the Rfam family "Bacterial small subunit ribosomal RNA", at positions 524 to 776 of the family's 1533-position model. The record is from RNAcentral.
UACGUAGGGGGCGAGCGUUGUCCGGAUUUAUUGGGCGUAAAGAGCUCGUAGGCGGUUUGGCAAGUCGGGUGUGAAAACUCCGGGCUCAACUCGGAGACGCCACUCGAUACUGCCAUGACUCGAGUCCGGUAGGGGAGUGCGGAAUUCCUGGUGUAGCGGUGAAAUGCGCAGAUAUCAGGAGGAACACCGGUGGCGAAGGCGGCACUCUGGGCCGGUACUGACGCUGAGGAGCGAAAGCGUGGGGAGCAAACGGG